Heteronotia binoei (common prickly gecko) is the source of this 624-nucleotide long non-coding RNA. RefSeq lists it as uncharacterized. The record is from RefSeq and is a predicted model, not a curated record. The transcript has 3 exons. Lineage: Eukaryota; Metazoa; Chordata; Lepidosauria; Squamata; Gekkonidae.
UCUGGCUGUCUAGAUCUCUAGCCAGCCCAAGCAGGCCUCGCUCGCCCAGGGCUCUCCAUUCUUGCAUCGGGUUGCUUUGGGCUGGAGGGGAGCGGCACAUGCUAAUGUGUUAUGCUAAUGACUUCUGUCACUUUUUUUUUUUUUUUAGCAAAAUGAUCCCUGGUAAUGAACAUUACCUGAAGUCCAGGAUGAUAUGAUGAAAGUGCUUGUGGGUGGUGUUUGAUUUGUGAAAGGAUAUUUCACACAUCCUGUUUCAGAUGCAAUCAUCAAGUGAGAAACAACACACAUGAGAAACUUGCCCUGCAUCACAGGCAAGAAUGAUCAAGAAAGAAUGCAAACUGACUUUCAAGACUGAGGGCACAAAUGCAUUUAUCAUCCCUGUUUGCAGGAGAGAUGUUGAAGAGCUUUGAGACUGGCACCAGGUGGUUUAUGUCCUGGUGACUCACAUUCUGUGUGCUGCAAUUGCUCAGAUGAUGUAUUAAAGUUGUAUAAUACUGUUGAAUCAGUACAUACAAAACAUAUAUAUUAACGUCUGCUGGUGUAAUGUCUUGCCAAUGCACUCAUGAAAACCUGAUCUCUGUUGGGGAAUAGCACUGUGAAUUAAAAGCCAAGUGUUAGCCUGAA